GGUCAUGCUUUUCCACAGCUUUCUUGAACUUUCUUUGAGUACUAACUCCGUCUUAAGGGAGAAAGAAAAAGAAAAAAACAUAACAUUUGCUAGCGCACCAUGGAAGCUCAAGAAAGCUGUGGGAAAACAUGAUGG
Non-coding RNA from Gossypium raimondii (Peruvian cotton), 135 nucleotides. NCBI's taxonomy places the organism in Eukaryota, Viridiplantae, Streptophyta, Magnoliopsida, Malvales, Malvaceae. The record is from Rfam.